CCACCACUGUAUUUGUGGCACAGGGAAGUUUUAGAACCAGUGGAUGACAUACAGUAAACAGCAACCUGUUGCUUCAAAGAUGUGCACCUAUGUCACUGUGAUGGUUGAUUGUCCUUCCUCCCUGAGUUACUAGGACAUCUCAGCAUUGCCCAAUGAGCUGCUGAUACUGCUCAGUGUGAAUGUCCUCUAGGCAUUGUCCCCGGCUGACUGGCUGUCCAGAAUGCACUGAUACAGAAGCAGUUAAGCAGAAUGGUUUGGCCUCAAAUGAUGAGACCAAUGUGGCACAUGGAAAUACAACCUAGGUGGAGCUACCAUAAGAGAAGAAAGAAUCAUCCAGCAAAUGAGUCCUUGGUGAUUGUACACUGAUCCUUCAGCUUGGAUAAAUAUUGGUGAAAGUGAAGAAGACGUGCAGUGUUCUGGAGAUUGCAUCCAUGGGUUGUGAUCAUGGAGCUGCUAAUUUUGCUGUCUCUGCAGAUACCUGUGCCUUUGGUGAUGUCACAGAUGUUCAUUGAAGGAUUGGAUACAAGCAUUAUCUUUUGUGUGAGAUCUAAGGUGCAAUUGACCUGGAUUAAGUGACUGGUCCUUCUGGACUGGGAGUAACAUGAAUAUUCCUAUGAUCCUUCGUGUCAGGGACCAUCUGUCACAAAGAUGUGCUCACCUGGGUGGCGAGAUAGAUUGGAGUACCCAAGGGGACUGUG
This is a long non-coding RNA of Gopherus evgoodei (Goodes thornscrub tortoise), 698 nucleotides long. RefSeq lists it as uncharacterized. The transcript has 6 exons. The record is from RefSeq and is a predicted model, not a curated record. Lineage: Eukaryota; Metazoa; Chordata; Testudines; Testudinidae.